RNAcentral lists this ribosomal RNA (802 nucleotides) under uncultured bacterium. RNAcentral's name for it is "bacterial SSU rRNA". It matches the Rfam family "Bacterial small subunit ribosomal RNA", at positions 8 to 796 of the family's 1533-position model. The record is from RNAcentral.
AGAGUUUGAUCAUGGCUCAGAACGAACGCUGGCGGCGUGGAUAAGACAUGCAAGUCGAACGCGACUUAUCUGAUUAGCAAUAAUUAGGUAAGUUGAGUGGCGAAAGGGUGCGUAACACGUGGGAAUUUACCAAAAAGUGGGGAAUAGCUCGGCGAAAGCCGAAUUAAUACCGCAUGUGAUCGAAAGAUCAAAGUCGGGGACCGCAAGGCCUGACGCUUUUUGAGAAGCCCGCGGCCCAUCAGCUAGUUGGCGGGGUAAUGGCCCACCAAGGCGAUGACGGGUAGCUGGUCUGAGAGGACGACCAGCCACACUGGAACUGAGACACGGUCCAGACACCUACGGGUGGCAGCAGUCGAGAAUUUUUCACAAUGGACGAAAGUCUGAUGGAGCGACGCCGCGUGGAGGAUGAAGGUUCUUGGAUUGUAAACUCCUGUCACUGCAGAACAAGGAUACGCCAGUUAACAGCCGGCGUAUUUGAUGGUAUGCGGAGAGGAAGGGACGGCUAACUCUGUGCCAGCAGCCGCGGUAAGACAGAGGUCCCGAGCGUUGUUCGGAUUCAUUGGGCGUAAAGGGUGUGUAGGAGGUCGGGUAAGUCAGGUGUGAAAUCUCACAGCUUAACUGUGAAACUGCGCUUGAUACUGCUCGGCUAGAGGAUCGGAGGGGGUAUCGGAAUUUAUGGUGUAGCAGUGAAAUGCGUAGAUAUCAUAAGGAACACCGGUGGCGAAGGCGGAUACCUGGAAGAUUCCUGACUCUGAAACACGAAAGCCAGGGGAGCAAACGGGAUUAGAUACCCCCGUAGUCC